UACGUAGGGGGCAAGCGUUGUCCGGAUUUAUUGGGCGUAAAGAGCGUGUAGGCGGCCAGAUAGGUCAGCUGUGAAAACUCGAGGCUCAACCUCGAGACGUCGGUUGAAACCAUCUGGCUAGAGUCCGGAAGAGGAGAGUGGAAUUCCCGGUGUAGCGGUGAAAUGCGCAGAUAUCGGGAGAACACCCGUGGCGAAGGCGGCUCUCUGGGACGGUACUGACGCUGAGACGCGAAAGCGUGGGGAGCGAACAGG
Molecule: ribosomal RNA, 252 nt
Filed under: uncultured bacterium
Lineage: Bacteria
Description: partial 16S ribosomal RNA
Rfam family: Bacterial small subunit ribosomal RNA
Source: RNAcentral